AAGACUAUAUUUUUAAGGAUCAUUUCUAUAGUUCGUUACCAGAGAAGUUUCUCUGAUCAAGUAGAGAACCUGAACCGUGGGGAGGAGUCAGAACCUACUCUCCUGAGCAUAAAGUCGGUUCUAGGUGUUGCCUCUGCAGCUGUUUUUUUGCUGUUGAUGAUCCUUCUUCCCUUCCCUUGGAAGAGGGAGAGGGAGAGGAUGCAGUCAAACACG
This 213-nucleotide small nucleolar RNA is filed under the name Sorex araneus (European shrew). Its description in RNAcentral is "Small nucleolar RNA U3 (ENSSARG00000016324.1)". It matches the Rfam family "Small nucleolar RNA U3". From Rfam's summary of the family: Small nucleolar RNAs (snoRNAs) are involved in the processing and modification of rRNA in the nucleolus. There are two main classes of snoRNAs: the box C/D class, and the box H/ACA class. U3 snoRNA is a member of the box C/D class. Lineage: Eukaryota; Metazoa; Chordata; Mammalia; Eulipotyphla; Soricidae. The record is from RNAcentral.